This 451-nucleotide ribosomal RNA is filed under the name uncultured bacterium. Its description in RNAcentral is "bacterial SSU rRNA". It matches the Rfam family "Bacterial small subunit ribosomal RNA", at positions 354 to 796 of the family's 1533-position model. The record is from RNAcentral.
GUAGGGAAUUUUGGGCAAUGGGCGAAAGCCUGACCCAGCAACGCCGCGUGUGGGAUGAAGGCCCUCGGGUCGUAAACCACUGUCAGGAGGAAAGAAAAGCCGACCGGGUAAUAUUCGGUCGGCCUGACGGUACCUCCAAAGGAAGCACCGGCUAACUCCGUGCCAGCAGCCGCGGUAAUACGGAGGGUGCAAGCGUUGUUCGGAAUUACUGGGCGUAAAGCGCGUGUAGGUGGUUGAGUAAGUCGAAUGUGAAAGCCCCGGGCUCAACCCGGGAAGUGCAUCCGAAACUGCUCGACUAGAGUCCCGGAGAGGAAGGCAGAAUUCCCAAUGUAGGGGUGAAAUCCGUAGAUAUUGGGAGGAAUACCGGUGGCGAAGGCGGCCUUCUGGACGGUGACUGACACUCAGACGCGAAAGCGUGGGGAGCAAACAGGAUUAGAUACCCCAGUAGUCC